AAAUAAUGUGUAGUAUCAUUUACUACAAGAUUGCAGUAAAUGCUACUGUAGUUACAAAUGUCACAAAAAUGAUAACAGUUACUCAAUAUGCGUCAAAUUUUACUAAGUCUAUAAGUUGAGUUUACUCCAAUCUUGCGGUUAAUUCUACUGCACACUGCAGUAACAAAUACUCCACGCGGGAGUUGAGAGUACUACAAAAGGAGCUGUUCCCGCUAUUUCGCCAUUUUGGGGUUAGUCUCUUGUGUAUACUUGUUUAUUAUAGCAUCUCAUAAAUAAUAAUCUGACAAUUUAUUGAAAAUUAAAUAAUUGAUUCUAAAUAUCUAAGUGAAAUGGAAGAUUUUGUUUCAAAUAAACUAAAUGAGUGGGGUUUAAAUCACUUAAUACCAGCAUUUCAAUAGGUUAUUCACGAUCAACCAAAUAUACAAAUAAUCAGUGCAGUUACAAGUAGAAAAUUAAAUUUUAUACAACAAAAAGAGUAUUUGGCUAGACUACUAAAUACUCCAACUAAAGAUAUAAUCGAAAGCGAUAUUCGUGGAGUCGCUGCUCUUAAAUUAAACGAUAAGCAAAAAACGUUUCGAAAAAAUAUUGCUCAUAUAAUUUUAGAUAAAGUUCUGGAUGUUGAUCCAUCGUUCAAGAUACCCAGAGAGUUGUUUGCCAAAUGGGCGACUGAAUUAAGUGUUAUUAUCCCAACUGAUUUGCCUCAAGUUUAUUAUUUUGAAUCGUCAGUGAAUGAAAAGGGUCAACCUUCAUCGGCUGGUGGCGUAUUGUAUAAUACGUGGAUGAGUAAGCGCAGAAAAUUGAAAAAGGCUGGUAUGAUUGUCGAUGCAAAAUUAAAACAACCUACUGAACAAGAAAUAACUUCUGCAAGUCCCGAUGUAGAAGAAGAUUUAACUUGGCUUCGCAAUUGCACAGGACCUUUGAAAGAUGUCAUCGCAAAAUGGAAACAUACCCAUAAACAUCGAUUAAAUGACUUUAGAACGAUAUCGAUAUCGAGUUAUUUAGAAAAAUUUUUAUUCCUCCGAGGA
Molecule: long non-coding RNA, 1025 nt
Organism: Cotesia glomerata
Lineage: Eukaryota; Metazoa; Arthropoda; Insecta; Hymenoptera; Braconidae
Exons: 4
Source: RefSeq, a predicted model, not a curated record